RNAcentral lists this long non-coding RNA (510 nucleotides) under Papio anubis (olive baboon). Its description in RNAcentral is "lncRNA (ENSPANG00000044064.1)". Lineage: Eukaryota; Metazoa; Chordata; Mammalia; Primates; Cercopithecidae. The record is from RNAcentral.
AACUCCUUGCACUGACUGCUUGGCAUCUUUAGUCUAAGCAACUGCUCAGUGAACUCAGUGUUCCUGCUUUGCGAUAGCCUGCUGGGGAUUGUGCAAGAAUGGUCUGUGCGUUUCUCAGUCUUCGGUUCAGGCUCCACAACUGGUUGAUGCUGUUUUCCUGUUAGUGUCUCCUUUUCAUCAUGCACGAUCCUCCAUAGUGAUGGAAUGGAGACAGCUUCUCAGAGAAAGCACAGCUUUGGAAGGUAAGUAACUUUUGGAUGGUGAGACCAUCAGACCAAUUUGACUAGGCCAAGACUCUGAUCAAUGUUCUUAAACCUAUGUAACACUGCCACAGAGAUUUCAAAGGAGGAAGGGUCCUGGACCGCCCAUUCAUCCAUUCUCAAUGAAUUAUUCAUUUGACCAGCGCUUUCUGACUUUCUAGCUUCAGCCAGACACAGUACAAGGGACAGGGGAGACUGAGAUGAAGAACACUUGGUGCUUCUUCCCAAGGCCCUUGCAGUCUCAGAGAAG